Molecule: long non-coding RNA, 689 nt
Organism: Dioscorea cayenensis subsp. rotundata (Guinea yam)
Lineage: Eukaryota; Viridiplantae; Streptophyta; Magnoliopsida; Dioscoreales; Dioscoreaceae
Exons: 3
Source: RefSeq, a predicted model, not a curated record
GGGAUUUAUUACUUCGACAAACCCGUGCACUUGCGGGAUAUACGCAAGGGGCGUUGUCACAGCAGUCACAGUCAAACUAUGCAGUUUCAUGUGACCUUUAGAUAAGCCUUUUGAUCUUUUUCCUUGCCCAUGAGUUGGAAUGGUGCUUUCUAUUAGUUGUUUUUUUUUCACUCCCAUGGCCUAAAUGGCAUCUAUUUGAGCCAGGAAUCUCUUGAGGCUCUAUAUGCAUCAUCACAUUAAUGAUGCACACUGUGAGCUUCAAUUCAAUUUACUUUUAGGAUUUCAUGGGUACCAGUAAGCAGGCUUUUUUUGGCCCAUACACAUUUAUUUUAUUGGAUCAGCAGUGAAGAAAAUAUCAGAUUUGAGAAGAUUAUGUGUUGAAAAGGGAGUGAACCCAUGGAUUGAAGUCGAUGGUGGAGUGACGCCAUCAAAUGCCUAUAAGUGCAGUUAAAAAUGAUUAGGUAUCAACCUCUCAAAAUCUCAGUCGGAAUUUCUAUGAAUGGCAAGUCACUGAGGCUGGCGCCAAUGCUCUAGUUGUUGGUUCUGUAGUCUUUGGAGCCAAAGAUUAUUUAGAAGGCAUAGACUUUUUUAUCAAAUUUAUUGUUUUGUUGUGCCUUUCAGAGGAGCCAUUUCUACAAAUAUAUAUAAUAAAAUGUACUUAUUAUUUUUCGAUUGUAUUGUCUCCUUGC